RNAcentral lists this long non-coding RNA (4031 nucleotides) under Malus domestica (apple). RNAcentral's name for it is "long non-coding RNA (MDOM_LNC009366)". Lineage: Eukaryota; Viridiplantae; Streptophyta; Magnoliopsida; Rosales; Rosaceae. The record is from RNAcentral.
CCAACAUUCAAAACAUGAACGGCGCCUGCAAUUGCUUUUGCUUCAUGUGAAAGGGACGUCUGCUCUACUCCAAUAUCGUCAGCUGCCUAAUUUAGUCAUCCAUGCAUAUCCGUCACUAUCUAAUUUGUCGCUAAAUGUGUUACUAUGCCAAGUGGCAUUACUUAGUUAGCCAGAUGUCAAUUGUUGAGUUAGAUCUCUUUAGCUGUAACCAGCUAUAUAAGCUGAGAUAUGUGCAGAUGCAAAGGGGAAUGAAUAUUUGAUUGUGUUAGUGUAUCUUGCAUUUGAGUAAAGGUAUCAAAAUAUGUCUGACCAACCACAGUUGCACCAACUAACCACAAAAUAUAAAAGCUCAUGACUAGAAAUUAAUCAAACAGUUAUAACAGAAAUUACAAAGAAUAUUUAGAGUAGCAAUUUUUUUGUUUUCAUAAUGCGAUAGUUUAAACCACUUUAAUUUUCUAUGAUGGCGGUUCACACUCGAAAAAAAACGGGCAUAUUGAUUUUUACCAACUAAUAACCUACACAUAUCCGAUUAAAGUAGCAACUUAAAAAUUGGCUAAAGUAAUAAAUUUUCCUAUAGCAUUAUGUAUCUGUUUGGACCCGAUUUUACAUCAUCGGCCCAAGCGAUCGAGGCCAUUGAGUGGACAUGAUUCUCGACCUCCAGAUGAGAAAGUGGAGAUAAUUUGAUUAUUAAAGGAUAAUAUUAUAAUUAUCUUUUAAUAUGAAUUAUCUCGGUAUUUUUUAAACUAGAUAAAUAGAAUGCGAUUCAUAUCCCGAAUAAGCGGUACAAUUCGAAUUGAUUUGGGAUGUCUGACAGCACUUGGAAGUAAAAUGAAUUUAAAAUUCGUUUGAUCAGAAUGAUGAUGGCUAUUGUGGAUGAGGUGAGGAUGAGAUAGGAGACCUAAGUGGGUGUUGUCAGAUGAAGUAAAUUGAUGAUGGACAUGGCCUGUAUGCCGUGUCAAAUGCUAUCAGCCAUAUAUAUAUAUAUAUAUAUAUAUAUAAUAUAUAUAUAUAUAUAUAUAUAUAUAUAUAUAUAAUUGGCGACAUUAGGUCUGCUAACUCAUUGGAAAGGUGCAAACUUUGUUUUAUAUAUAUAUAUAUAUAUAUAUAUUGGGUGGUUGAUUAGAUGGACGUUAUCCAAGCAUGCAGAUUAUCUUGGAUUCGAUGAAGAUGAGUUUUAAUAGUUUGGGAGUCUUUCUCAGCUUAUCAACUAGUGCGUAUUCGUCACUAUAAAUACAGAGUCGCAUGCAACGUUCAAGGGGCCCCUCGAAUUCAACACACAACUGCCCUGCGCAAAUCUCUCAACAACUUUGAGAUUUUUUAUUUUCUCUUCUCGCUGACACAUCUUCCGUUGGCAUCAACAGCACUAUGAAAGCAACCAGUGAUAUCUUAAGUCGGCAUAGAUAGCUCUGUCAUCAUAGAAUCAGCCGGUCUCGCAGUAUCUUUCGUUGGCAUCAACAGCAUUGCGGUGAGGACGGUUGGUUACCUAUCCAAGUCUCGGUCGAGAAGGAUUUCCGAAUCCUUAUUGAUUGAGGUCAUCUCAUUAGCCUUCUCGGCGAAGUGAGGUGUUACAGUUUAUUGAGCUCGGCGCAUCGCACACCGAGUUAUUUUAUGAUUGGAUAUUCCCAAGUGGGAUUUAGAGUUCGGCAUUCAGACGGCCGAACCACGUUCACUAUUAAGACUUAUAUUCGCUUUGAGUAUUUGUGCCCUUACACUUUAGUGUUGAUUCGACGAGAGUUUACUCUGACGAAUAACAUCACUGUGACCGAAUCCGACGACGGUGAUUCGUGAACUUCGUAAGAAUAGUAACCUUUUCUUCAGGUUCGAGAGCCCAAGAGGCCGAGACGUGUUCCUUUCUCGGCCGCAAUCGCAAGACGCAGAAGUCAGUCGCGCACCCAACGCAACAUCAACAAAUUUACUCCUCGGUCGAGCUCGACCGACGAGUUGACACGUCCCGCAUUCACCGAAGGACGUAGUUAGCUUAUAGAUUACUCGACCUGCGCGCCACGUAGGCUUAGUAGUUUUUAAGGUCAACAUUUUGGCACGCCCAGUAGGACCCAGUGCUAAAACUACAAAGUUCACAUGAUCUAUCUCAAUCAGGCUUCAAGGGAUAAGUGUCAUCGCCUAUUAAAGAAGCAAAAACAACUUCUCGAGAGAUUGGGAAGAAUUUCUGAAAGGCAAGAGGCCGAGGGGAAAAUUUCCACUCCAGCCACAACCAAUAUUCGGCCUAAGAAAAUUGUUGAUUUGGCUGAAGAACAAAGGCCACCUAUUUUUAGGUCGAGACUGGAAGUGUGGUAGGCCUAGAAGAAAAUGUUCAAGUUUCUGAGCCAGAAAUUAACUCAGAAAAUGAUUUGUCAGAGGAGUGCUCCAAUGACGAACAAGGCCGCAACAUUGGCUUAGCCCAAGAAACCACGACAAUUGAUAUGAUUAUUGGCGAUAAAGCCGAUAUGGAGAAAUCUCGUUCGGCUAAGAUGUUUGAAUUAAAAGCCGAAAUUAUUAUGUCCGGGGGGCAUAGUAAUUGUUCAAUACAUUUGGCAGCCGAUGAUAAAAAAUAUUUCGCCGAGUCAAAAGUAUUUGGAGAUGAUUCUUUAUUCGGCCUAGAGCAAAAUCAAUUUCAAAAUUUUGUUUUUACAAGAUCUCGGCUUGGACUAAAGCAUCGUUGGCCUCCUCCUGACUAUGGUUCGGCUACUUUUAUUUCCAUUUAGAAAAAAAAAUAAAAUAAAUGAGAAUAAAUGAUUUUCUUAACCAUUCAGCUGCUUAGCCAAUGCUUAAGAAAAUAAAGGGAGCACGGGUGCACGGGUGAUAUAAUCGGCGGAUCAGACUUAAUCUUGCCGAGGAUGAGUAUAUAUAAAAGAGCUGCUUGCCGAGAUUUGAUACUCGGUGUAGAAGAGAGACAAAGGAUGAAUCAUGGUUUGCUUCUCGAUGAUCAUGGUCUUUGAUGCACUGACUGAAAAAAAAAAAAAAAAAAUUCGGUUGUCUAGGCCGAGGCCGAGCUGUCAAGAAUGGUCUGUUUCACCUCGGCCUAAAUUUUUUCAUGGCCUUGGCAGUUGAGAGUUGCAGCAGCUUUUAGGUGGAGUCCUCCAGAAGGUGACGUGAGGGCUCAAGAAGUACAUGACAGAAGAGAACAAUGCCGAGUAAAAGAAAUUUGGCCGAGUGUUGUGUCAAAGUCAGACUACUUUUCAGGCUACUUUUAUAUAGAUAUGUACGACAUAUAGCUUUGGUGUUGAAGUCACCUUACAUCAGUACCUUUAUAUAUAUAUGACACCCUUUCUUCUCGGUACAUAUAUAUGUAUAUUAUAUGUCAACUGCAUGGCCGACAGAUCACAUCAAGCAAUCAGGUUUAUAUAUAUAGGCAGGCCGAGCUCCAUGAGUAGUUUAUCGACCUCGACCCCAGUUCUUCUCUAUCUCGGCCCCAUUCACCCUCGACCCCAGUAUUUUCGACUGAUACUAGUGUUUUCUCGACCCCGGCAGUCGAGAGUUGGAGUAGUUCACGACACUGGCAGAGGAAGAUCAUGACAUUGGCAGAACAGAGGUGAUUUUAAUGCCGAGAAAUAAAAUUUGUUUCAGCAAUACUACGAAAUGUUGUUGGCUACGAGCAAUUAAUUUCCUUAACCAUUCGACUUGCAAGCCGUAGCUCAAGGAAAUUGGGGGGCAAUGUUUGGACCCGAUUUUACAUCAUCGGCCCAAGCGAUCGAGGCCGUUGAGUGCACAUGAUUCUCAAUCGCCAGAUGAGAAAGUGGAGAUAAUUUGAUUAUUAAAGGAUAAUAUUAUAAUUAUCUUUUAAUAUGAAUUAUCUCGGUAUUUUUUAAACCAGAUAAAUAGAAUGCGAUUCAUAUCCCGAAUAAGCGGUACAAUUCGAAUUGAUUUGGGAUGUCUGACAGCACUUGGAAGUAAAAUGAAUUUAUAAUUCGUUUGAUCAGAAUGAUGAUGGCUAUUGUGGAUGAGGUGAGGAUGAGAUAGGAGACCUAAGGGGGUGUUGUCAGAUGAAAUAAAUUGAUGAUGGACAUGGCCUGUAUGCCGUGUCAAAUGCUAUC